UCUCAGAUCUUGGCAGCACUUGUGGAAAACUUGCAGCCUGGUCACUCUUCUUCAUCUGGGUACAAACACUGACCUUCAAACGGAUGCACUGACAAGUUGGUAUGUAUGCAGAGGCAGAAACUUUACAGCCCAAAGCUCACUCCCUUAAAAACGCCCCCGGUUUCCGACGGGUUCUGUCGACCCGGAGCCCAGCUCUUUUGUUCUCGAGCAAAUCGUCCGUAACAAAUCAAGGAGAGGAGUGUAAUGAGCACAAUAAGUCAAGGCUAGCAACAUCCGACGAUGAAGUUCUGAGCAGGAAUUUAACCUCUCGGUUGGCAACAAUACGUUUGUAAACAAAGCAUCAGCAAGAACACAAUUCAAACAGUGAAUCACUUCGCAUGAUGGAGCACAACCACCAUGACGUUUAUGGACUGUAAAACUUUAUUAGCACCGCAAACACAAUGCUGUUUAGCAGGAAAUUGCGAUGUAUUGUUCUGCAUGUCUGCCUUUUCCACUCUGUUGCGUUUGAGCCUGGACUCCAGAGCUACUCCCCACUCUGGUUAGUCAACAGUUCAGGCAUCCCAAUCUGUAGUUUCUAUCUUUCGAAGGAAACAUUGUUGCGCUGAAAUGGCAGCAGCAUUUUUGUCCAGAAGAACAGGUGCAAAGCUCUGCAGACACUUGGCAGGUUGGAGCGUCCCCCAGUAGCCAGGGCAAACAGGAAGUUGCUCUGAUGUGAUUUAUCGACACGCCUGAAGCGCGCGCAUGAUUGACAAGCAAUGACUGCGGCAUUGUGUCCAGGGUGCGGCCCUCACACCUGAACAGCCCUGGUCUUCGUUCCCACACGGCAUCAAACAAACACGCUGACUUAUUUCGGUUCCCUGCAGGAGGAAGCGGGAGGAGCCCCGCCAGUAGAGCGGCAUCUCUGGCAUUCUCCUCAUUCCACCGACUUUAACACUUUCCAAGUGACCUCCUCCCUUCCUUCAAACGCUGACACGCAGACGUCUGACACGCCACGCCACCGUGCAACGCCGCAUGGACGCAUGACUGGCAUAGCUGCAGAGUUAGUCACAGUAUCUACCGCCACUCACCAACCACAAUCAUCCUGAGAGUGUGAGGCUGUCAGACAGGUGGAUUCAAGGAAUUGGCAGCCCAAAGCAAGGACCCAGGCGCGGCCCGUUGAACUGGGAACACGCGAAGAACAAACUAGUCGUGUGUUAAAACACAGGAACGUACGCAGAUCUGAUGUGGAAUGAUGAAAGUGAUUGAUCUAAGGGAGGAGACGCCUUGAAAAACACCUGUCGCCAGAAGCGACCAGCUAAGUACCUGACCUCUGACCCCUUUUAAUUGCUCUCUUGCGCUAAUCGCUUCAGAAUUGACCAAAGCAUUUCGCAGCUUGCCGCGUCCCUCGACUCAACGUUGAAACGUUGACCACUGAAGGUUUCUGGCAGGUGUUAGCAUCAACCCAGGUUUUCUCAGUUUUCACUUGCGCGCUCCGGUUGCAAUGCAAAGCACCCCAGCGCUCACGACAGGAGUGCUCCAAAUCUCCAAAAUACCUUAUGAUGAACCGCACCAGGAACACAUGCGGCCACCUUGCCUGAGACCUGUUGAUACUCACUGCAAGCCAGGAUGGCAUUUUCCUCCUUCAGUGCAAGCUUGCCCGUACGAUACCAGGCUAAAAAAGUCCCUGUUCAACAAGACACUCUACACAUUGUGCUCCCCUCUUUGGGGAUAACAUGCCUCUUCCAAUGCCCUCUUGGCUUGGUACUCACAAAAGGCUCCGUCAAACUGAAGGACACCCUGGAAAGCUGUGAAAGUUGCGUAAUCGCAAACCUCCAGCCUGAAAAAGUCCCGCGUCCUUCUGUCCUAGUUUUGAACCUUUACGACCAGCGUGUGUGGCACGGUGCCAACUACACUCUAGUUUUUCUGAUUAGACGAAUAAUAAAACUCUCAUUACCGAUGUGAAUCUGGUUUCCCUCGUAAACCUGGUGGCGACGGAGGCAAAGCUGCUCCGAGGUGAAGUGAAAUCACGCUGCAGAUGCUUUCUCAUGAAUUCCACGAAACUUGUAAUGAUUUAUCUGCGACCGGAGCGCAGGGUAGUAAACAGAGCCAGAUAUUUGCCCUCCCACCCAUUACCCCGUCACCCCUCCCCCCCCCACCCCCACCCCGUACAGUAAAAGCUUUUAUUCUACAUGUGCUCAUUUACAACCUCGCUGUCCCACUGAGCAAACACGCCAUUAAUUCCAGCCCUGUGAUUGUUUCAUUCCGCUCAGCUACGAGACUCGAGCAGACCCAGUGAAAUGCUCUCAUGUCAUUAGAAGCUAGCGUGGCGUGACACGGCGCGCGCUGAUGCUUUCAUUAACAGAUAUAAUUGCAGGCUGCGUCCGGCUCGUUAUCUUCCAGGAUAUGAAAUUACAGCUGCGAGCUUCGCUCUGAUCUACCUGCUCAGGAUUGCGAGCGCUCACCUCACCUGACUGCCAACAACAACUCCAGCUACAAGCUUGCGUUCGCCAAGGAAAACAUCGGCGUGAUUGAAAUGACUUGCAGUUGUGCAACCUGAGGGAAGAGGAGUCAGCACACUGAACAUGAAAGGUCACAAGGUUGCCUCGCUCAUGUUUGUAAAUCGUAUUAUUGGGAAGGAACAGAUGAAGUUUAGAGGUACAUUCACACACCCAAAAUAAACCCUGGCAUUUCAGCAAUAUUUAGACGAAUCUUAAAACACAUCUACACAAAUAUUUUUAAUAGCAAUAUGCAAUACACUAGAAAUUUUAAUAAAUAAUUCCAUGUUAGAUCAUUGAUUAAAUAUGCAAUAAUAUUGCUUCAUUAAAUGUGAAAAUGUGAUGAUAAAAAUAAAUAUAAUUGAGCAUAUUUUUAAUAGAAUGUACAUGUGAAAAAUAAAUUAUAAUUAUUAAUAUAAUUUUAUGAAUAUUAAUACAUGAGAUUAAGCCCCAAAAAUGACAAUGUAUUUAAAAAAAUAUAUA
Molecule: long non-coding RNA, 2957 nt
Organism: Synchiropus splendidus (mandarinfish)
Lineage: Eukaryota; Metazoa; Chordata; Actinopteri; Syngnathiformes; Callionymidae
Exons: 3
Source: RefSeq, a predicted model, not a curated record